This 3370-nucleotide long non-coding RNA is filed under the name Nicotiana benthamiana. Its description in RNAcentral is "long non-coding RNA (NBEN_LNC007769)". Lineage: Eukaryota; Viridiplantae; Streptophyta; Magnoliopsida; Solanales; Solanaceae. The record is from RNAcentral.
AAGAUACCUUGGAUUUGGCCAUUUGGGUUUAACAAAUCACAUGACCUCCAAUAAACAAUUUUUACACAAUCUACAACCUUUACCUAAGGCUUAACAUUGGAUUUGGCUGCUAGUGUUUUGAAUCCUGCAGCACCUGGGAAUGGUAAUCCCAUAAGUGUUACUAAUCCUAAAUCGAAAAGGACUGGAGGUGAUGAAUUAAUGCUUGUGAAGGGUCAGGAUAAACCUACACGUGAUGUUCCUGCUUCUAUAGCCUAGAGAGAAUUUACAAUGCUGUAAAUCCAGUUGUACAAGCUAGGCAGAUGUGUGACAGUCAUGACAAAGCUGGACAAACUCCUACAGCAGCGCGAUAUGUUGGUGUUAUUGAAGGGAGUAACGAUGAUCAGAUUGAGAGGAAAGCAGUUGGACAAACUCCUAUGGCUAAAGGUGUUGGGCAUGUACUUGAUACUUCAAAGAAAACAGCUACAAAUGCAAGGACUGGACAUGUUUGUGAUACUUUGGGCAAAUGUGUUACAACUAAAGAUUAUGUGGUUGCUGGUGUUACUACAUGUUCUGUUGCUGGACAAAAAUCUACAAAAGUUGGGACAGUUAUAUCAAUAUUACUAAUUUCAUUAGGAGCAAUAUACAUUCUGAGAGACUUCCUAGGCUUGGCACUUAUAUAAUAGAAAUUUGGUACUACUGCUUGGAAGCAUAUAGUUAUCGCUAAAGAGCUCCAAUUGGCAUGAUUGUUGAAAAGAGCCGUAUAAUAUUAGUGGUUAAACAAUAUAAAAUGCAUCUAAAGCUUCCAAGUUCUCUUUCAGUAGCUUUUCGAGCACCUUCAAUGGGAAUUUUACAAUGAAAGUUUUUUCAAAAGGGAAAUUGAACGUCUGAAAUCCAGCUUGGUGCUUUGACAACUUAGACAUACAAAUUGCACAACUUCUUGUAAUUUUCUACUGAAAGAACGAAAGGUACUUGUGCAUUCCACAAAUUGGAAUUCCCAAACUACUAGUUCCAAGACAUGGGGAUAAGAAGGGUAGAGGAUUGGUGGGAGAAAACAUUUUUUAAGAUGCAAAGUUAUACUACCAAAAUGGAGAGUUUACUGUAUUUUGCUUAUUUAGAUACUUUAUGAUUCUCUUUAUCUAUUUUCUGCGGGAGUCACUAAUGCUUUUUGUUUUUGUUUUGUUUUAUAGCUGUUUUUCCUUUUGUCCUAUGCGCCGAGGGUCGAUUGGAAACAGCCUCCCUGCCCUUUCGGGUAGGGGUAAGGCUUGUCUACAUAUUACCUUAGAUACUUUAUGAUUCUCUUUAUCUAGCUUGUAUCACAUACUUUGGUAUCUUCUUGGGUUUCUAUAUCUCUCCCUCUGGAUAGUUACUGCCUUUUUGCCUUUCAAUUUUGGUUUAAAAUAUCCAUUUGCAUUUGCUUAUAAAGUAAGUAACCUCGGGAAUGUGCAUGGCGGUUCAAGCAUUUUUACCUUCUGAAUCUCAGGGGCUCCUAAGUAUUAUGGCAGGAUUUAUUCUCAUAUCUCCAGUAAUAACCUCGUUUACAUAGUAUUGUCUACUUGUAUCUACAUUCGUACUCAUAUGUUCGUCUUUCCUUGUAUACUUGUAUUUGCUUUUGUCUACCUAUAUGAAGUAGCUUUUCGAACAUCGUCAAAAUUCCCUGAAUGCUUACUUCCAUAUGACUUCAGAAAAGAUUUCUGAAGUAUGGUGGAGAAUUUGAAAUGCUUUUAUAGUAAAAGCUACAAUCAUUCUUUGAUUAUUCAGAUGUGAAGUGAUCUUAAGGCACAAAUGUUGAUUUAACAUGCCCUGCAAUAUGAAGGAUACUCUAUCUACUUUUGUUGAAAACCUAGCAAUUCUAAGAUGGAAUAUUGAAGGAUACUCUAUCUACUUCUAGCCGAUUGAUCACAACUUCGUUAUUUCUAGCUGCUAAGUUAUAAGCACAAAAUAAUGCAGCUGUUACUGCUUAAGUUGGUGCGCAAACUAGUGACAUAUGGACAGUAGUGAUGAGGUCUCCUACUAAGCGAAAUACUGCUCCAGGUGUGAAGAAUCAACAGCAGAAUAUGAGUGUUCCAACUGCUCGACAAAUCACGUCAAAGGCUAUCACAAGUCCAAAUAGUUUUGAAGCACUAGCCGAAGAGGUGAACUUUGGUGUUAACUCUCUAAUAGUCAAGGAUACUGGAUUGAUGCAGCAAAUUGCACCAUGUAUUAGUACUAGCUAACAUGAUCAGUCAAGUGAAAAUCUUUCUAAGAAGUUGGGUGUUCGACAAAUUGCCUCGGAGAAUAAUUUAAUUGAGAAUGUGGGGAUGAUCAAAUAGUGAGAUAUAGCACUCCUGGGUUGCAUUUUUCCAGCCCAGAAGUUGAAAGAAUUAUCAAAGAAACUCAGAUUUCCAUGAUGAUGAAAGCUAACCCUACGAUCAACCAACAUGUUCUGUGUAUACUCGUUUAUCUCGUUCUUCUAUUCUAUCUAUUCUCAGUUAUUCGAUACUACAAUCUUUUUUUCAAAUUUCACUUUGAAUAGAUACUUUUAGUGUUUAAAUAUAAGUAAAAGAUUAUUCUGAUCCUUUCAGACCUUCACAUGGAAAAACUAACCAGUUGAAAAAUAUUUUUCGAACCUUUUAGCCGCUAAAACUCCUCUUUGUAAUAAGGUAAAAAUCAAUAAUGAGCCUAAUAAUGCACUAAAUCACCAACUAACAAUAGAGUAAAAACAGUAUAUAUAUCAUAAUCAGGCAAAAAGUUUGAACAUGGUUGAAUUCAUAGUUCGACUACUGGCAUUCAACUAAAACAUCAAUACGCAUCAACGACACUCAGAAAUUUUUUGAAAAAUCACAAAAAUAACAGUAGCCUUAGAAAACAGAGGAACCAAUUCAAUAACAAUAGAGUAACAGAUGAGGAAUCAAUUCAAUCAAUCGACUACCAAUCUAACAACAACCAGAUAUCACAAACGACUUAGUAAACACAGAAAAAGCUAUAAUUUCACUAAUCCCAAAAGGCCAUAGUUCGAUGACAAAAAUCAAAAUUAAAGAUUGUUACCUGAUAAGCAAAGUUUUUUGCCGAUUAAGACAGGAAAUUGAAGGAAACGAAUGCUUUAUGCAAUAAUUCUUGAAACCUACACGAAAACAAAAGUUGUAGACGAAUGAGAAGGAGAAGAUUGACAACGAAGAUUAAAAAUAAUCGAGCAGCAUCAACCCAAAUUUAUAUGUAAUGGAUUGAGAACGACCUGCGAUGGCCGGAGACGAGGGAGGCUUUUGCAGCGAUAGUGUUAACGCGUACGUUUUCCUAGCGUCGUUCUUCGUUCUAAUUACAGGGUUUUUCCUAGUAUUGUUUUUCUAAUCGUAGGGUUUUCUAAUAGGAGGGAAUGUAAUUUUUUGUCCCAAAAAAUUUGGAGGGAAGAUUUAUU